UAACCUCCUCACCAUAAAUCUUCUUCAUCUCCUCAUUCCUCUGAGCAUCAUCUGUCGUCUCCUUGAGGCCAACGUGGACCUUCAUCUGAGGGGAAUAUUCUUGGGACAGGAGUGAAUUUUCUAGUUCAGACAGGACGACAGGUUCAGACGCCAAUUGAACUGUUGACGUUUGAACGCUAGUGUCGCAUCACAGGUUUUUCAACCGAUCAGGCGAGAUUUUUAUUCAACAUAAUGGAGAUAAAAUCAACAAAAUCGACAAGUGGCGCUGGUAAUUAAGAAGAGGUAGUUAAAGGGUGCCAUUAAAGCAACAUGCGUCUCUUACAUGUGCUGUCAC
Molecule: long non-coding RNA, 334 nt
Organism: Fopius arisanus
Lineage: Eukaryota; Metazoa; Arthropoda; Insecta; Hymenoptera; Braconidae
Exons: 3
Source: RefSeq, a predicted model, not a curated record